RNAcentral lists this ribosomal RNA (937 nucleotides) under Kocuria marina subsp. indica. RNAcentral describes it as "bacterial LSU rRNA". It matches the Rfam family "Bacterial large subunit ribosomal RNA", at positions 1 to 894 of the family's 2925-position model. Lineage: Bacteria; Bacillati; Actinomycetota; Actinomycetes; Micrococcales; Micrococcaceae. The record is from RNAcentral.
UAGAAGUUGUUACGGGCACACGGUGGAUGCCUUGGCAUCAGGAGCUGAUGAAGGACGUGGAAAUCUGCGAUAAGCCUCGGGGAGCUGAUAAACGAGCUGUGAUCCGAGGGUCUCCGAAUGGGGUAACCCGGCUGCGUAUCAUGCGUGGUCACUCGUAUCUGAAUUCAUAGGGUGCGAGGAGGAACGUGGGGAAGUGAAACAUCUCAGUACCCAUAGGAAGAGAAAACAAUAGUGAUUCCGUGAGUAGUGGCGAGCGAAAGCGGAUGGUGGCUAAACCGGUUGUGUGUGAUACCUGGCGAGGGUUGCAUGAUCGGGGUUGUGGGAUGCGUUGUUCUCGGGGUCGCCACCCCGGGCGCUGUGGCGCUGUGGUAGUCGAACUGGUGGUGAGUGCCAGACCGUAGGGGGUGUGAGUCCCGUAGACGAAACCGUGGUGUGCGUGGUGUGACGUUGUUCCCGAGUAGCACGGGGCCCGUGAAAUCUCGUGUGAAUCUGCCAGGACCACCUGGUAAGCCUGAAUACUUCCUGAUGACCGAUAGCGGAUCAGUACCGUGAGGGAAUGGUGAAAAGUACCCCGGGAGGGGAGUGAAAUAGUACCUGAAACCGUGUGCUUACAAGCCGUUGGAGCCUUUUGGGGUGACAGCGUGCCUUUUGAAGAAUGAGCCUGCGAGUUAGUGUUACGUCGCGAGAUUAACCCGUGUGGGGUAGUCGUAGCGAAAGCGAGUCUGAAUAGGGCGUUGUGUAGUGGCGUGAUCUAGACCCGAAGCGGGGUGAUCUACCCAUGGCCAGGUUGAAGCGCGUGUAAGAGCGCGUGGAGGACCGAACCCACUUCAGUUGAAAAUGGAGGGGAUGAGCUGUGGGUAGGGGUGAAAGGCCAAUCAAACUCCGUGAUAGCUGGUUCUCCCCGAAAUGCAUUUAGGUGCAGCGUUGCGUGUUGCUU